AGGAAUAGACGGGGACUCGCACAAGCGGUGGAGCAUGUGGUUCAAUUCGAUGGUAAACGAAAAACCUCACCAGGGCUUGAAAUUCCGACGAUAAGUCCCGUGAAAGCGGGAUGUCUCACAAGGACGUCGGAACAGGUGCUGCAUGGCUGUCGUCAGUUCGUGGCUUGAGCUGUUCCCUUAAGUGGGGUAACGAACGCAACCCCUGCCCCGUGUUAUACGUGUCACGGGGGACUACUCUGAUUUUCGGAGGGGAAGGUGGGGAUGACGCCAAGUCAGCAUGGCCCUCUGAUGCCCUGGGCUACACACGUGCUACAAUGGGACGUACAAUGGGCCGCAAUACCGAGAGGUGGAGCUAAUCCCUUAAAACGUCCCCCAGUUCAGAUUGAGGUCUGCAACUCGACCUCAUGAAGACGGAAUCGCUAGUAAUCGCAGGUCAGCUAUACUGCGGUGAAUACGUUCUCGAGUCUUGUACUCAC
Molecule: ribosomal RNA, 476 nt
Filed under: Candidatus Giovannonibacteria bacterium RIFCSPHIGHO2_12_FULL_45_19
Lineage: Bacteria; Candidatus Giovannoniibacteriota
Description: bacterial SSU rRNA
Rfam family: Bacterial small subunit ribosomal RNA
Source: RNAcentral